This is a long non-coding RNA of Mizuhopecten yessoensis (Yesso scallop), 526 nucleotides long. RefSeq lists it as uncharacterized. Lineage: Eukaryota; Metazoa; Mollusca; Bivalvia; Pectinida; Pectinidae. The record is from RefSeq and is a predicted model, not a curated record. The transcript is spliced from 4 exons.
GAAACACAUCUGUGGUGUUUUUAAAGGCUUCUGAGUGGUCAGAUUUCGAUUCGAUGCCACUGGAGAACUAUACAUCAUCUCCCUGCAUGAGUCUCGAUGACAGCAAUUCUGAGGGAGUUCUUGGAGCUUCAAGAAAGGACCCUUUUUACCAAGUGUUGUGUGCUAGCCUGAUACCUGAUGCUCCGGAUUCACUGGGUGAUCUGAUGCAUGGGAAACAGAAACCACUUACCUCGUCUUAUGAUGAAAAGCUGCCUGUCAUGUUAAUUUGAAGCAUUGUUGCAGAUUGAGACAAAGAACCGUGUAAAGAGUCUCUACAAUUUAGGGCUGGUCAUCUUGAGGAAGCUGUUGAACCUGUCCAGGAAGUACUCGGUCAUUGGAUGUGACAAGGUCCUAGAGAGUUCCAGUGAAGAAAGUGAUGAGAAUGAGACUGUUUCCAAGGUAACCACAACAAAGCGGAAACGUAAACAGAAAAGUAGACGAAGGAAGAAACUAUGCUCUGUACCUUGUCGAGAAUCUACUGAGGUUG